CCUACGGGUGGCAGCAGUGGGGAAUAUUGCACAAUGGGGGGAACCCUGAUGCAGCGACGCCGCGUGGGUGAAGGCGUACUUCGGUACGUAAAGCCCUAUCAGCAGGAAAGUAAAUGACGGUACCUGCAACGGAAGCACCGUCUAACUCCGUGCCAGCAGCCGCGGUAAUACGGAGGGUGCGGGCGUUAUUCGGAAUUACUGGGCGUAAAGCGGUCGUAGGCGGUAUGUCAAGUCAAGGGUGAAAUCCCCGGGCUCAACGUGGGAACUGCCUUUGAAACUGGCAAACUGGAGUGUGUUAGAGGAAAGCGGAAUUCGUGGUGUAGGAGUGAAAUCCGUAGAUAUCAGGAGGAACAUCAGUGGCGAAGGCGACUAUCUGGCACAUAACUGACGCUGAGGAGCGAAAGCGUGGGUAGCAAACAGGAUUAGAUACCCCUGUAGUC
RNAcentral lists this ribosomal RNA (440 nucleotides) under uncultured bacterium. Its description in RNAcentral is "partial 16S ribosomal RNA". It matches the Rfam family "Bacterial small subunit ribosomal RNA", at positions 338 to 795 of the family's 1533-position model. The record is from RNAcentral.